This 465-nucleotide ribosomal RNA is filed under the name uncultured bacterium. RNAcentral's name for it is "partial 16S ribosomal RNA". It matches the Rfam family "Bacterial small subunit ribosomal RNA", at positions 28 to 507 of the family's 1533-position model. The record is from RNAcentral.
GACGAACGCUGGCGGCGUGCUUAACACAUGCAAGUCGAACGGAAAGGCCCCUUUGGGGGUACUCGAGUGGCGAACGGGUGAGUAACACGUGAGUAACCUGCCCUUGACUUCGGGAUAACUUCAGGAAACUGGGGCUAAUACCGGAUAGGAAUCCUUUCUGCAUGGUGGGGGUUGGAAAGCUUCGGCGGUUUUGGAUGGACUCGCGGCUUAUCAGCUUGUUGGUGGGGUAGUGGCUUACCAAGGCUUUGACGGGUAGCCGGCCUGAGUGGGCGACCGGCCACAUUGGGACUGAGAUACGGCCCAGACUCCUACGGGAGGCAGCAGUGGGGAAUAUUGCAGAAUGGGCGGAGGCCUGAUGCAGCAACGCCGCGUGCGGGAUGACGGCCUUCGGGUUGUAAACCGCUUUCAGCAGGGGCGAAGCUUGUGGUGACGGUACCUGCAGAAGAAGCAACGGCUAACUACGUG